CUGCCUUAGGCAGGGGUAGUUGUUAGCAUGGGUGCUGAGCUGGGCUGCAUGCGUGCUGCAAACACUGCAAUAAGCCUCUGUAAGUGAGGAAAGUAAGACAAAGAUCAGGUGAACUGUCCAAAUCACACAGACAUUUACCCUGGCGCAGGCAAACUCUGAACACUUUUGACCUUGGUCCUACCCACAAGUGAUGCAGCAGCUUCUCCUACAAAGAACAAGUUACGUCUCCCUCGACUUGAGAAGAAUCUGUUGAAUUGGGAGAACUUAUUUUUAAAGCCAAGUAAUAAGUUUGUCAAUCACUUCUUUAUUAUCA
This is a long non-coding RNA of Passer montanus (Eurasian tree sparrow), 313 nucleotides long. RefSeq lists it as uncharacterized. The record is from RefSeq and is a predicted model, not a curated record. The transcript has 3 exons. NCBI's taxonomy places the organism in Eukaryota, Metazoa, Chordata, Aves, Passeriformes, Passeridae.